GAUCCUAGCUCAGGAUGAACGCUAGCUACAGGCUUAACACAUGCAAGUCGAGGGGCAGCAUGAAAGGAACUUCGGUUCUUUUUGAUGGCGACCGGCGCACGGGUGCGUAACGCGUAUCGAACCUGCCUCAUACUCGGGGAUAGCCUUGCGAAAGUAAGAUUAAUACCCGGCGGUCUCGGAUGGCCGCAUGACAGUCCGAGUGAAGAUUUAUCGGUAUGAGAUGGCGAUGCGUCCCA
Molecule: ribosomal RNA, 236 nt
Filed under: uncultured bacterium
Lineage: Bacteria
Description: partial 16S ribosomal RNA
Rfam family: Bacterial small subunit ribosomal RNA
Source: RNAcentral